RNAcentral lists this ribosomal RNA (484 nucleotides) under uncultured bacterium. Its description in RNAcentral is "partial 16S ribosomal RNA". It matches the Rfam family "Bacterial small subunit ribosomal RNA", at positions 30 to 507 of the family's 1533-position model. The record is from RNAcentral.
AGUGAACGCUGGCGGCAGGCCUAACACAUGCAAGUCGAGCGGCAGCGGGUCCUUCGGGCUGCCGGCGAGCGGCGGACGGGUGAGGAAUGCAUCGGAAUCUGCCCUGUCGUGGGGGAUAACCUAGGGAAACUUAGGCUAAUACCGCAUACGACCCACGGGUGAAAGCGGGGGAUCGCAAGACCUCGCGCGAUAGGAUGAGCCGAUGUCCGAUUAGCUAGUUGGCGGGGUAAAGGCCCACCAAGGCGGCGAUCGGUAGCUGGUCUGAGAGGAUGAUCAGCCACACUGGGACUGAGACACGGCCCAGACUCCUACGGGAGGCAGCAGUGGGGAAUAUUGGACAAUGGGCGCAAGCCUGAUCCAGCCAUGCCGCGUGGGUGAAGAAGGCCUUCGGGUUGUAAAGCCCUUUUGGCCGGGAAGAAAUCGUCUGGGCUAAUACCCCGGGCGGAUGACGGUACCGGAAGAAUAAGCACCGGCUAACUUCGUG